CACUAGGUGACUGAAAGUAAGUGUAGGUCUUUUAAACCUAUUAUAGUGCCUAACAACCACUCCAAGUGA
RNAcentral lists this transfer RNA (69 nucleotides) under Sergia lucens. RNAcentral describes it as "tRNA-Lys". RNAcentral also lists the same sequence under 1 other name. The record is from RNAcentral. Lineage: Eukaryota; Metazoa; Arthropoda; Malacostraca; Decapoda; Sergestidae.